This 270-nucleotide ribosomal RNA is filed under the name uncultured prokaryote. Its description in RNAcentral is "partial 16S ribosomal RNA". It matches the Rfam family "Bacterial small subunit ribosomal RNA", at positions 524 to 792 of the family's 1533-position model. The record is from RNAcentral.
UACGGAGGAUCCGAGCGUUAUCCGGAUUUAUUGGGUUUAAAGGGUGCGCAGGCGGGAUGUUAAGUCGGCGGUGAAAUUUUGCAGCUCAACUGUAAAAGUGCCUUCGAUACUGGCUUUCUUGAGUGUGGAUGAAGUAGGCGGAAUUUGUGGUGUAGCGGUGAAAUGCUUAGAUAUCACGAGGAACUCCGAUUGCGCAGGCAGCUUACUAAACCACUACUGACGCUCAUGCACGAAGGCGUGGGGAGUCAAACAGGAUUAGAUACCCGGGUA